AUGACAGGAGAAAGGAAUAGUGUAGAUAGAGGAAGCCCAGGGUUGAGAGGAGGAAGGAAUGGAGUGGGUAGGUGGAGCCUGGGGUCCAGAGGAAGAAGUAAUAGAGUGCGUAGGUGGAGCCUGGGGUUGGGAGGAGGUAGGAAUGGAGUGGGUAGGUGGAGCCUGGGGUCGGGAGGAGGUAGGAAUGGAGUGGGUAGGUGGAGCCUGGGGUCGAGAGGAAGAAGUAAUAGACUGGGUAGGUGGAGCCCGGGGUCGAGAGGAAGAAGUAAUAGACUGGGUAGGUGGAGCCCGGGGUCGAGAGGAAGAAGUAAUAGACUGGGUAGGUGGAGCCCGGGGUCGGGAGGAGGAAGUAAUAGAGUGGGUAGGUGUAGCCUGGGGUCGAGAGGAAGAAGUAAUAGAGUGGGUAGGUGGAGCUCGGGGUCGGGAGGAGGAAGGAAUAGACUGGGUAGGUGGAGCUCGGGGUCUAGAGGAAGAAUAAAAGAGCGGGGUAGGUGGGAGCCCCGGUGUCUAGAGAGGCAAGGAAUAGAGUGCGUUAGGUGGAGCCGGUGGUCCGAGAAGGAAAGAAGAUCAGAGGCAGCUAGUUUUGGUCAUUUCUUCUCCAACGGCGUUGGUAGUAAUCAUCUUGACCAAAUGAGUAACUGGACAAAGGUCAGACUUACCCCAUUAUUUAUGUCACACGCCAGCCCUCGCAUCAUCCCCUGCCUCAAUGCCCAUUAUGACAUAUGCGUGCCCCUCCCUCUGGGCCCCUCAGCAGGCUCACCAGCCAGGGACAUGGCCCCGGGUGGGAGGUUGGAGAGUGAUCCCAGGAAAUAGCAGACAGAAGAAAUGCCAUAGGAGUCCCUAGGCCUUGGGAGAACAUGUAGUUUUGCCCCUCACUUGGCAAAGAUUGAUCAAAGGGCUGUGCUGCACUCAGGGGCUGGGCACCGAGAGGAUGCAUGGGAAGCAGGUGUGGUCAAAGUGGGAAGCGCAUGCCUCCAGCUAGUUAACUUACGCCCUUCUCCAAAGCCCUCGUACAUCACUUAGGUCACUCCAUGAAUAUCAGUGAUAUUAUUAAGAAGUCCAGGUGAAUACCUGGAAAACUUCCUGUUUCCUUAGACGGUUUCUUGAUUUCCUGUUUCUUGAAUCUCCUGGCUUUAACUGUAACCUGGAUUUUCCAUGAAAAUACUGCUUCCUUUGCAUAUGUCUUAGAUAGGGACCCUUCCUCCCAAACUCUACAGUUCUUCGAGGUGGGGAUGUAGAGUAUUUUCCUUGUUUCUUCUGACACCUUCAAGCUAUUAUUCCUCUUCCUCAUUAGGAAAUCACUUGUUCCAUAGAAACAUGCUACUCACCAUUUCCCUGGCACUCCAGAUCUAGGUACCUGUUUUUUUCUAUGAAAAACUUGCGCUUAUCUAAGAGUCUUAGUCUUGAGUCCAUCAUCUUUUUUUAUUAAAAAAUAUUUAUUUAUUAGAGAGAGUAAGCCAGAGAGAGAGAGAGGAAGAGAGAGAGAGUGUGAGAGAGAGAACAAGCUGGGGAGGGGCAGAGGGAGAAGUAGAAGGAGAUUUCCCACUCAGUGUGGAGUCUGACAUCGGACUUGAUCCCAGGACCCCAGGGUCAUGAUCUGGAGCAGAGGCAGAUGCUCAACGCACUGAGCAACCCUGGCACCCCUUGAGUCCAUCAUCUUGAGUGACGUCAGUGUCCAUCUAGAUGAUCUCGUUGAAUCUACAGUGUCCAUGUAGAUUCAAUGCUUUGGCUUCUCCUUUGAUUUCUUUAUCAAUAAUAUCCACCCAUCCAUUCUACCUCAGCUGCUUAUGGCCAUAUCUGGUGUUUUCCAGUACCCAAGAAUUAUCCCACUUCUGAAACCAUGUACUCAUACAUUGCAUUUUCUGACUACUACUUCCUGAGCUUACAAUGUAAUCACUGAAUUGUUCUUACUUCAUGGGGCCUACAACCACUGACUCUUCCUUUCUUCUUAUGGAUUCUGAUUCCUGUUAUCUUGAUUUCUCUCCUCUCCUACUUCAGAAUCUAGGAUUCCUAAUUUCAAUGAUUUUCUUACCAUAGUCUGUGCUCUCUUGCCAGAUCUU
This 2060-nucleotide long non-coding RNA is filed under the name Canis lupus familiaris (dog). Its description in RNAcentral is "lncRNA (ENSCAFG00030014193.1)". The record is from RNAcentral. Lineage: Eukaryota; Metazoa; Chordata; Mammalia; Carnivora; Canidae.